RNAcentral lists this ribosomal RNA (246 nucleotides) under uncultured bacterium. RNAcentral describes it as "partial 16S ribosomal RNA". It matches the Rfam family "Bacterial small subunit ribosomal RNA", at positions 524 to 766 of the family's 1533-position model. The record is from RNAcentral.
UACGUAGGGUGCAAGCGUUAAUCGGAAUUACUGGGCGUAAAGCGUGCGCAGGCGGUUAUGUAAGACAGAUGUGAAAUGCCCGGGCUUAACCUGGGAACUGCAUUUGUGACUGCAUGGCUAGAGUGUGUCAGAGGGGGGGUAGAAUUCCACGUGUAGCAGUGAAAUGCGUAGAUAUGUGGAGGAAUACCGAUGGCGAAGGCAGCCCCCCUGGGAUAACACUGACGCUCAUGCACGAAAAGCCGUGGG